GAGAGUAUAGCUCAGUGGUAGAGUGUAUGCUUAGCAUACACUCGAGGUCCUGGGUUCAAGCCCCAGGACUUCUU
Molecule: transfer RNA, 74 nt
Filed under: Camelus dromedarius (Arabian camel)
Lineage: Eukaryota; Metazoa; Chordata; Mammalia; Artiodactyla; Camelidae
Also listed under: 1 other name
Rfam family: tRNA
About the family: Transfer RNA (tRNA) molecules are approximately 80 nucleotides in length. Their secondary structure includes four short double-helical elements and three loops (D, anti-codon, and T loops).
Source: Rfam by way of RNAcentral